AGUGUUUGUGCUGCUGUGGCGGCAAUUCCCCCUGCAAAAUAUUCACUUAUAUGAGUUGGCAGAGCAGGUUCUCUACUUAAAAGCUGAUGAGUUCCAUCUCACUUUGCUGUUGCGUGUCAAAGUCUCCUUGGAUGAUAUAAUCACAAAACUGCUCAAUCCUGCAGUAUGCUGUCCCCACACAAAUGAUGGGGAAAAUGAUUUUAUGCAUGAAUAUCUGUAGUUAUGAACUGAUGUGUAGUUACAGCUUCAUGCUCUCUUACACAGGGUGGAUUGAUUUCACUCAGUUACACCUAGUAAGUUAUGAGGCUAUGGAUUGGUCACUAGCCUGAGUUCACUAGCCUCAUUUCAGAGUAAAAUUCUGACUGGUGCAUCCCAACCAUUUGUUCUAUUGAGGGAACAGAGGUUCACUGCAUUGAAGA
This is a long non-coding RNA of Thalassophryne amazonica, 419 nucleotides long. RefSeq lists it as uncharacterized. The record is from RefSeq and is a predicted model, not a curated record. NCBI's taxonomy places the organism in Eukaryota, Metazoa, Chordata, Actinopteri, Batrachoidiformes, Batrachoididae. The transcript is spliced from 2 exons.